This is a long non-coding RNA of Micropterus dolomieu (smallmouth bass), 843 nucleotides long. RefSeq lists it as uncharacterized. The transcript is spliced from 3 exons. Lineage: Eukaryota; Metazoa; Chordata; Actinopteri; Centrarchiformes; Centrarchidae. The record is from RefSeq and is a predicted model, not a curated record.
GUGACCUCUGACAGGUCUAGCAGCUGACCGCUAAAUGGUUAAAUAACAUGAGGCCUCAGUCAGAGUGAGUGUUUGAACUGGCACACAGACCGACAUCCAGGAUAUCCUCUUGUUAAAACCAGCAGAGAUCCAGGAGUGAGGGAAGCAAUUCAGACAUUUAUUGUGAAGUGACACAAAUUAAAGACAGUUCAAAGCUUCUCCUCUAACAUCAGGCAAUAAACAGCAAAGGGAAUCAGAGAAAUCAAACCCUGCCUGGCCGCACUCACCUCACCUGUCGGAAAUAAAACCUGGCUGAAAUAAGAGAAACCAACCUAAACCUUCUGCCCAGCUCCUGAACUCACUAACCUAACGCCUCAAACGACUUAACAUUAGCUUCAGAGCUAACACACAGCUCAGGUGUUUCCACAAAGAGACUUUUAUCAGGCUGAGGCUCAGUGGGACCAUAAAGAUAACUUGAACUGAGGAGGGUUGGGGGGUUCAAACUCUCCUUGAAGCAUCAUUAAGUUUCUCUAUUUAGCCGGCCGGACAUUAACACAGCGGCUGACGGACAGGUGGAAUCUAAACUGGACAUCUGGCGCCACCUGCUGCUGAGCAACAGAAUCACUUUAACACAGGCGAGACCUUCACUGGGAACUGAUCCGGUGUUCACCAUGUGGCGGCUGAUGGUGUGCAGGGCUUCUGGCAGGAAAACAACAGCGCUGCGGUGGAAACGUCAAACAGAUGUCCUUUCCUAACCCGAAUUCACAAGGACUUAGGAGAAGACAAACAUGAUACUAUAGGUUUAAAAUAAUCUAGAUUUUUUUACACAUCGAAUAUAAAAACAGUGACAAACUCGGAUGUUUA